GACGAACGCUGGCGGCGUGCUUAACACAUGCAAGUCGAACGCAAAGGCCCUGCUUUUGUGGGGUGCUCGAGUGGCGAACGGGUGAGUAACACGUGAGUAACCUGCCCUUGACUUUGGGAUAACUUCAGGAAACUGGGGCUAAUACCGGAUAGGAGCUCCUGCUGCAUGGUGGGGGUUGGAAAGUUUCGGCGGUUGGGGAUGGACUCGCGGCUUAUCAGCUUGUUGGUGGGGUAGUGGCUUACCAAGGCUUUGACGGGUAGCCGGCCUGAGAGGGUGACCGGCCACAUUGGGACUGAGAUACGGCCCAGACUCCUACGGGAGGCAGCAGUGGGGAAUAUUGCACAGUGGGCGGAAGCCUGAUGCAGCAACGCCGCGUGCGGGAUGACGGCCUUCGGGUUGUAAACCGCUUUCGCCUGUGACGAAGCGUGAGUGACGGUAAUGGGUAAAGAAGCACCGGCUAACUACGUG
RNAcentral lists this ribosomal RNA (468 nucleotides) under uncultured bacterium. RNAcentral's name for it is "partial 16S ribosomal RNA". It matches the Rfam family "Bacterial small subunit ribosomal RNA", at positions 28 to 507 of the family's 1533-position model. The record is from RNAcentral.